UUUGUUAUGAAGUCUAAGUUACACAUCAAAGUGCCCAACAUCCUUCUCCAUUUCUCCUCUGCACAAAAUUUCCUCAAAACUCAAAAGAAACCCUAGCCUAGAUCUAGCCUCCACCACCACCGCAGCCGUUAUUCUCACUGCCACCGUUUGUCGCACUUAGAAUCUUUUGUCGUCAUCUGGUCGUCGUGCUCCAACCCUUCUCCUCAUUUACCAAUUGCAGCUCCUUCCUCGAACUCGACGUGCUCCAGCCCCUCAUCCUACUCAGUUGCACUUCGCCCGCUGUCCGUCGUCGUGCUCGUUGCCAUCUUCUGUCGCGGUCAACUGCUUUCCCUCAUAUUUUGCUCAGAUCUCCUAAUUGCCUGGUUCUUCCUCUUUUUUUUUUUGGUAUAUCGAGAAUCCUCCUCCUCACUCUUUCUCAGUUGGAUUAUGUAAUCUGUAAGUUGUGCACUAUGCAUGCAGUCUCAGAAGUUCAAAAAGGCUUGAAAUCAUUUCACUAUGCAUCAACAUACCUUGUCAUUGACUUUUUGAAAACAUCAUAUGAACGGCCUUUAGAUAUUGUCCUUCUCGAGGAUGACAUGAAUUUCCACUCGCGCGCAGUUUCAUUGUUGGAGGUUGGAAAAGGAGGUGGAUAUCUGCUUGUAGCAACAGAUAUAGCUGCUAGAGGAGUUGACCUUCCUGAAAGUUAUAAAGUAUUAAUAUAUUUUAUGAAUUGUAAUUUUAAUUAUGGAUGACAUUUUGAGGUUUAAGUUAAACUAUAA
Long non-coding RNA from Arachis stenosperma, 758 nucleotides. RefSeq lists it as uncharacterized. Lineage: Eukaryota; Viridiplantae; Streptophyta; Magnoliopsida; Fabales; Fabaceae. The transcript has 3 exons. The record is from RefSeq and is a predicted model, not a curated record.